GACUCCAAUUGAACCGCAGCUUCACCCCUUGUGGUGCUCCCCCGCCAAUUCCUUUAAGUUUCAUACUUGCGUACGUACUUCCCAGGCGGCAAACUUAACGGCUUCCCUGCAGCACUGCAAUGGCCACAAGCCAAUGCAUCACUGAGUUUGCAUAGUUUACAGCUGGGACUACCCGGGUAUCUAAUCCGGUUUGCUCCCCCAGCUUUCAUCCCUCACCGUCGAACGUGUUCUGGUAGACCGCCUUCGCCACAGGUGGUCAUCAAUAGAUCAAAGGAUUUUACCCCUUCCUAUCGAGUACCGUCUACCUCUCCCACUUCCUAGUUAUGCAGUAUUCCCGGCAGCCCAUACGUUAAGCGCAUGGAUUUAACCGAAAACUUACAAAACAAGCUACGGAUGCUUUAGGCCCAAUAAUCAUCCUGACCACUUGAGGUGCUGGUUUUACCGCGGCGGCUGACACCAGAACUUGCCCACCCCUUAUUCAACAGUGUUUCUAGGACUGACAAAAGGUUUCUUUAGCAGAAACCACUCGGAUUAACCUUGUCGUGCUUUCGCACAUUGCAAAGUUUUCUCGCCUGCUGCGCCCCAUAGGGCCUGGGUCCGUGUCUCAGUACCCAUCUCCGGGCUACUCCUCUCAGAGCCCGUACCUGUAAUAGUCUUGGUGGGCCAUUACCUCACCAACAAACUGAUAGGCCGCAGUCCCAUCCUAUGGCGAUAAAUCAUUUGAAACAUAAACCAUUCCAGGCAUAAUGUUCUAUCUGGCAUUAUCCUCAGUUUCCCGAGGUUAUUCCCGUCCAUAGGGUAGAUUGACUACGCGUUACUGAGCCGUAUGCCUUGUAUUGCUACAAUGACUCGCAUGGCUUAGUAUCAAUCCGAUAGCAGUCAGGUCUGGCAGGAUCAACCGGAA
This 904-nucleotide ribosomal RNA is filed under the name uncultured Green Bay ferromanganous micronodule archaeon ARC12. Its description in RNAcentral is "partial 16S ribosomal RNA". Lineage: Archaea; Thermoproteati; Thermoproteota. The record is from RNAcentral.